Lolium perenne is the source of this 4051-nucleotide non-coding RNA. The record is from RefSeq and is a predicted model, not a curated record. NCBI's taxonomy places the organism in Eukaryota, Viridiplantae, Streptophyta, Magnoliopsida, Poales, Poaceae.
CACGAUCGUUUUGCUGGCAGCUAGGGAUGGCCUGGCAACGAGUCUCCCCUCAACCGCGCCGCCUCCCAGUGCCAUCUCUGGAUCCUCGGCUCCCGGCCGCCUCCCAGUGCCACCCCUGAUCCCCGCCGCCAGCCCCACCCCGCCGCUAGAUUUCCUACGCGUCCGCUUGAGGUCCAGGACGCCGCCGCAUCAACUACCUGGAACGGCGGACUUCUUACCACAGGCGACCAUUAUGGAGGCCGGAUCGACGACCGCGGGUGGCUAAUCGAUGCUAACUCCUGCCGGCGCAUCCUUCACACGUUUAUUCCAUGAUCCGUUCCACCCGGGAGAGAUAGAAUCCGUGGAGCAGGUGCCGGCGCGCAGGGGGAACUCGGGCGGGAUUAAUGGAGAUGGAGGAGCGGGGCGGCGCGCGCAGGCCCGGGGACCGGGGUAGGAGGUCACCAUGUGAGGGAGCUGUUCAGGAGGUGCACGGACGACGGUGGCCUGAGGGUAUACAAGACACCUGUCGAGGGGUUGCGGGAUGUGCGAGAUCUCAGCGCCAAUCAGGUUCAAGCGGACAAGACCAAUGCGGCCAGGAGGGGUAUUGGCGAUGCGACCAACAUCAGACUGGAGGAGGCGUCGAGCUGUAGGCUCAAAGAGGAUCUACAUAAAUUAUUUACGCCUCUCACAAAUGAAGAUGAAACUUUAGUAGACACCUCAUUGUAUGGUAGUGGUCACAGUAAAAAAAUAUUAGUACUGCAUGAGCCUUUAAAGAUCGAGAUUACCAGAGAGAAAUUAGGGUGCUUGAGGCCUCGUGGUUGGUUAAACGAUGAGAUCAUCAAUUUGUACCUAGAAUUGUUAAAGGAGAGGGCAAAAAGAGAACCCACAAGAUUUUUAAAAUGCCACUUCUUUAACACAUUCUUCUAUAAGAAGCUAUGAAGGCAACAUGGACCUCCAAAUAGGGAAGCAAGAGAAGCACCACUUAAUAAUCAUUACAUCUGCUCUACUUGGAGUAACACUGUUAGUUGCAGUUUCCCUCUGCUGCUAUGCCUUCGCAUGGAAAACCAUCAAGAAAACUCAUCAGAAGGUCAGAGAAGGAAGCAUCCUCUUAUCUUGUUAUAUUUUCUUACAGUGUCUUUUAUUUUGUGUGCAUGUGGUCAAAGAAGAAACUCCUUCCUUCAUACAAGUUACAGAAGUCAAGCGCGCAAUCGUGCGAAAUUUUAGAAUGUCAUAGCCAUCGUUAUAAGCUUCACUCCUUUGUUUGAAUAAAUCUAUAGGGAAAGGUAAGGAAGAUAGAAGCUAUGGUUGCAGGCACACAUUAAAAAGAUCAUGUAUGUUGUAGAGGUAAGUUUACCUGGACAUUUGCUUUUGGUGAAUGACCAGAUUUUUGUACAUCAACUCAAUAUUCGUUAGAGACAAGAGUGUCUGGUUUGCAAUCUGGAAUUGAUUAGGCUAGGAGCGCUAUUGUGGAACAAAAUAUUCUCUUAGUUAGCUAUUUGCACUUGAGUUUAAUAGUAGUAUACUGCAACCAUAUGUCAAACAACCAAGUUUAUAGAGGGGAGGAUUUGACUAGAACCAUAUAUUGGUUGUCCUUUUUUUUUGUAUCGUUACCAUGUGAGUUUUCCGAAUGAUUUUGAGAGAUAGGUAAGACCAUGUAGUCCACUGUUUUAGACUGUCCAUACUGCUAUGUAUUUGCAGGUUAGUAAAAUGUCAACAAUCAGUAUGUGUUCAGUUAAAAAAAUGUUUGUGUUAGUCUCUCUACUCCCCACCAAGUCUUAAGACCCGAAAUGUGAGUCAAAAUCACUUUUAUAUGAUCAUGCAUAAGCCCAUAGUGUAACUCAAUGAUCAGACUUAACACCACAAUUAAAUCAGAUGGGAAAUUAUCAACAGAGGAGUGCUAAGUCAACAGUGGAUUGUAUAUAUAUUCAUAAAAAACCCACCUUACUCCAUUCAGGUUCAAAUGGCGAGGCACACCAUACUGGUGCAUCUUUUUUUUAAAGGCCCCUCCUGUGGGUAAUUAUCUGUACAUUGUUGCAUGUACCUGUGCAUAAGUAAGUUAAUAAAUGUUUAAAAAGAACUUGUAAGAACAUGACAAGAUUUGCUGUCUGAAACACACCCUGUGUGAGUAAAUAUGCAUGGAGUUUGUUGGCUGAAACCAUCACUGGCGGCGCCAUCGCUAAGGUGCACCGACAACCUGCUGCUUAGACGAGACCAGUCCAGUUUCUUUUCAUGCCGUCAUGUCCAAGUAUGUCCACAAGCGUGAUCUCCAUUGAGUCCUCAGACAGAACCGCCCCUACUAUGUCACAUGCUCGUGUCCACUGUGGUCACCAUGUUCGGAGCAGCUAACCUGGCAAAGUCCUGGGCCUCCGGUAGUGUUCCCAGUCUGAGGGCCUUCACUUCAGAGGCAAUCUGUCUUGGUACGUGACUUGCAUAAGCAAAAUUUUCAUUAACUAGAAUGUACAAAGUUUUCAUUCAUAUUCAUACAGGUUAAUUUCUUGUUGAUGUUUGUUUGUUAAAUGUCUUGCAUUUCUAAAGAGUACAUGUUUUAAUUUCUUGUAUCAUGUGAAUAUCUACAUACUUAUCUCCAAUUCAUAUUGGAGGAUAUAUAGGCUAACAUAUUGUUUUUUUCCAUAUACCAUAUAACUUUUCCUUAUAUGCAGGUCUAGGGAGAGCAAGCCUACAGAUCACAUCCCCUUUGAUUUUUUUGCUCUUUCUUUGUUCAUGAUAAUUUGAGCUUUAUGCCUAAUCAAUCAAAAUCAUAAAUAUGUUUUUUCGUUACACGUUAAUAUAUAGUAUAUGGUUUCAUGCCCAGCGAAAACAGCCGGCCCUAAAUUAGGACCUAUUGAUUACAGAUUGUUUUGGCCUGUUCCUCGUAGACAUGUGAAGAUUUUUUUUUACCAAUUAGCUGAUAGUCAAAUUGGAAAAAACCACAUGCAUUUUCUCUGAAAACUUGGUUAUUUGAACUUCGAAAACAUUUAUUAUUGAUCUGAUGUUGCAAAACGUGGUCGAUUAUCAGAGAACUAUGUCCAGCGUAGAUAUUAAAGCUCAUCUAGAAGCCAUGUGUGAGGCUUUAGCUGAUAUUUUUGCAAUGGAUGAAGGGGGAAAUUAAUGAAAAAUUAUUCUAUUUUGUUGUGAAAAACUACUUCUCAAUUAUAGUUUGUUCUAAUAACUAAUAGCAACAUAAGUCAUCAGGAAGCACAUCUAUAUUUUCCCUGUGUGUACACUUUUCUUUGUCGGUUUAUUUCAUGCGUUGCUAUAGUAGAAAGGAUUACGGAUUGGUCUUGGAGGAUAUCAUUCAGUUUUUAUGGUUCGUUAUUGUCAGGAAGAUUCAAGAGGUCAUGGUGUGGGGGCAACACUAAAGUGUAAUGUCAGGUCUUUGAUGGCAUCUACAGAUCAUCGUCUCAAGGAUUAUGGAUGAGUGGAGAGCCUGGGUGGCUUGCUGCGGUGGAAACCGGCGAUAGUAUCAUAGUAAUUCCUUUAGUGUUUUCUAUUCUGUUGUUGUCCCAAAGCAGGUGAGGGUUAAUUUUGUGGCCGUGCCCUUCAGGUCUAAUUAAUAUCUCCUCUUAAGCUUAGUGAAAUAACUCCAUUUAACUCCCUUUUGUUUCAUAUGAGCUAUUUCAUUGUGGCAUGUCCAUGUGUAACUUAAAUGUUUUGAUCACCUUGAAAGCAAAGAUGGAUUGAUUUGCUCAUUUUUAUGUAAAAUAGAAUUAUGUUUUUAAAUAAAAUCUCUUAAGUCCAUCAAAUUAAUACUAAUGGAGGCUGGAUCUUGGUGUUCUAAUUAAUAUUUUCUUUGUUCCAAUGUAUUCGGUCUAUCUUUAAUUGUCUAUAAAGAUAUGAUAUGAUAGCAAUGUUUUAGUGAUAAAAUAGCAUUAUCAUAAGACAGUUCGUACUGUCAUAUUUGGUGGCAUGGUAGGCAUGAAUUCGUUGCCGGCGCUUGUUUUGGAAGCUCGCUGAUACUUACCAGCUCUACGUGGUCAUUAACCAUCACUGGUGGUGCAAUCCGAUCACCCUCAUACUAUCAUACUGAAAUCAAGCAUGUUUUUUCUUCUCCCGUUGCAACGCACGGGCAAAU